This 253-nucleotide ribosomal RNA is filed under the name uncultured bacterium. Its description in RNAcentral is "partial 16S ribosomal RNA". It matches the Rfam family "Bacterial small subunit ribosomal RNA", at positions 524 to 776 of the family's 1533-position model. The record is from RNAcentral.
UACAGAGGGGGCAAGCGUUGUUCGGAAUUACUGGGCGUAAAGGGCGCGUAGGUGGCCUUCUAAGUUGAACGUGAAAUCCCUGGGCUCAACCCAGGAACUGCGUCCAAGACUGGGAGGCUUGAAUCCGGGAGAGGGAUGCGGAAUUCCAGGUGUAGCGGUGAAAUGCGUAGAUAUCUGGAGGAACACCGGUGGCGAAGGCGGCAUCCUGGACCGGUAUUGACGCUGAGGCGCGAAAGCCAGGGGAGCAAACGGG